Molecule: small nucleolar RNA, 102 nt
Organism: Chlorocebus sabaeus (green monkey)
Lineage: Eukaryota; Metazoa; Chordata; Mammalia; Primates; Cercopithecidae
Rfam family: Small nucleolar RNA U13
Source: Rfam
AUCCUUCUCAGUCCAUCAGUGUCAUGAGUGAAUUUUCACACACAUGUGUCAAAAGUGCCUCCCUCAAACUGUUACAUCGGUGGCAUAUUACCGGACGUGAAA